GACCCGAUUCCCUCUCAUGCCAGUCAUACCCAACCUCAUGCCAUGUCAUGGCCCUCAAAAGAUCGGCACUUACUGACCACUGACGUGUCAUUCUGAGUGCACCGCAGAUUCAGAGCAACAUCAACGGCCGGGCGGCCGGGCGUGUGGUUGUUAGACAGAGGAACAAAGCAGAGCAUCUCCGCUAAUGCCUUUCGAGGACGAAUUAGAACAAGCCACAAGGGGCCGCUCCUAAACGGUGGCUCCGAAAGGUGGUUGAUUAGCAGUGUAGGCCGGGCUGUGCUUUGCGGCUGGUUUGUUUAGGUUUUUGGCUGACAUGAUCUCGCUUUGGAUGCAUCACUAACUAGACCACUUGCUCGCUCCACCGGAGACCAGUAACCAGUUUACAUCAUGCUGCGCCACAAUUACGGGAAACAGAAAAUCUAAUGCAAAUUGUGGUACUGGAAGAAUUAUAAUAAUCUGUAAUUAGAUGACAGCUGUUGUUAAGGAUCCUGUCUCUUUGCCACCUCUAGUUCUAGUCCAGAGUUCAGACAAGGUACUGAUGAAACAGUUGCGGUUGUGUUGUUGAAUUUGGAGGUCAUCAAAUGGAUAAAAUUUCAGCAGGAGGAUCAGGGGAAUGGAUGGGGGAAAGAAACGCACCUGAGCUUGUGGAUGUUGAAAUGGUCUUCGAGAUAGCCAGGGUAGAGCUCCAUUAUAGCAUGCCUGGCUUGAUCCUCCACAGUAAUGGUAUUGCUUGAAUUGAUCACCUCAUAUCUAUCAGAUGGAAAAACAGGAAUUUCAUUUACCAAAACAGGGGAGGUGAAUAUUUUUUUUAUAUUUAGCUGUAUGUAUGGUCGGAAGGUGUGCGGUUGCUAAGGUUGUCUGUCUAGUGUUGCAUGAACAUGGAGGAAGAUAUGGUCUUAGAAAA
Molecule: long non-coding RNA, 904 nt
Organism: Brachypodium distachyon (stiff brome)
Lineage: Eukaryota; Viridiplantae; Streptophyta; Magnoliopsida; Poales; Poaceae
Exons: 2
Source: RefSeq, a predicted model, not a curated record